GGCUGGUUCGAAGGUAGUAAGUUAACUUGACUAUUCACAGUCAGUUACAGAUUGAACUCCUUGUUCUACUUUUUCCUCUUGUCAUUAUCACACUUGACUAGUUUUUA
This 107-nucleotide Y RNA is filed under the name Prolemur simus (greater bamboo lemur). Its description in RNAcentral is "Y RNA (ENSPSMG00000003992.1)". It matches the Rfam family "Y RNA". From Rfam's summary of the family: Y RNAs are components of the Ro ribonucleoprotein particle (Ro RNP), in association with Ro60 and La proteins. The Y RNAs and Ro60 and La proteins are well conserved, but the function of the Ro RNP is not known. Lineage: Eukaryota; Metazoa; Chordata; Mammalia; Primates; Lemuridae. The record is from Rfam by way of RNAcentral.